This 541-nucleotide ribosomal RNA is filed under the name uncultured bacterium. RNAcentral's name for it is "bacterial SSU rRNA". It matches the Rfam family "Bacterial small subunit ribosomal RNA", at positions 229 to 793 of the family's 1533-position model. The record is from RNAcentral.
AUUCGCGGCCUAUCAGCUUGUUGGUGGGGUAACGGCUCACCAAGGCGACGACGGGUAGCGGGUCUGAGAGGAUGAUCCGCCACAUUGGGACUGAGACACGGCCCAGACUCCUACGGGAGGCAGCAGUGGGGAAUCUUGCGCAAUGGGCGAAAGCCUGACGCAGCAACGCCGCGUGGGGGAUGAAGGCUUUCGGGUUGUAAACCCCUUUCAGCAGGGACGAUUAUGACGGUACCUGCAGAAGAAGGACCGGCCAACUACGUGCCAGCAGCCGCGGUAAUACGUAGGGUCCGAGCGUUGUCCGGAUUUAUUGGGCGUAAAGAGCUCGUAGGUGGCUUCGUAAGUCGGGUGUGAAAACCCCAGGCUCAACCUGGGGACGCCACUCGAUACUGCGGUGGCUUGAGUCUGGUAGGGGAUCACGGAAUUCCUGGUGUAGCGGUGAAAUGCGCAGAUAUCAGGAGGAACACCAGUGGCGAAGGCGGUGAUCUGGGCCAGUACUGACACUGAGGAGCAAAAGCGUGGGAAAUCGUCGGACCCCUGCCAG